AUGAACUUCUUAGGGAAGUAUGGAUCAACAGUGAACAUGUAAAUUCCCAAGUACAUUACAUGUAGAUGAUGCUUCACCUUGAUUAUUUAUCAUGUGUUGCACAUCUACAGUCAAGCUUUGGGAUUGUCUUGUUAAUGUACAAAAGAUAUCAUUUUCUAGUAGCAUAAAUGCAUAAUAUAUUAUUAAUAUUAAUUCUUGCAAAAUGUAUAAAUUCCAUAAAAAAUUAUUACAUGAUUUGAUGUUUUUAAAUUUGAGAAAUAUACUAAUUUAUUUCCAAAUUAGUGAAUCAA
Molecule: unclassified non-coding RNA, 290 nt
Filed under: Hevea brasiliensis (rubber tree)
Lineage: Eukaryota; Viridiplantae; Streptophyta; Magnoliopsida; Malpighiales; Euphorbiaceae
Source: RNAcentral